Molecule: long non-coding RNA, 524 nt
Filed under: Setaria viridis
Lineage: Eukaryota; Viridiplantae; Streptophyta; Magnoliopsida; Poales; Poaceae
Description: long non-coding RNA (SVIR_LNC005611)
Source: RNAcentral
GCGCGUCGGAGGCCCAGGAGGCAGCGCGCGGUCGGUUGCUGGGCCGCGACCUGAAGGCCCAGCAGCGCGCGCGAAUAAAUGGAAAAAGAAAAGGGCCGAAGGCCCAGUGGAGCCGGCCGGUGUCGCGGAGAAAAGGAAGAAAAAGAGAGUAGGCCGUUGGGCCGGAGCUGGGCCGCAGAAGAAGAAAGGAAAAGGAAAUUGGCCCGCGGGGCCCGUCGGGAGGAGGAAUAGGGCCGGCGGGUAUAGGUGAAUAGGAAGGUGGGGUCCGCGCCGUGGGGCCCAGCGGUUCGUGAGAGAGGUUAGAGAGUGGGUGAGUAAGAAAAGUUUUCCGGGCGAUUUUCGGGAAAAAUUAGAUUUCCUUUAGUAAUUUAAUUCGUUUAAAUUCAUUUUACACCAUUUUAAUCACAGAAAAUUGUAGGAGUGUCCAAAAUUAGUGAAACCAAUUUUGUUAGGCUUGUUUUAUUUUCCUUUAUGCAUUAAAAUUUUUACACCCUAGGAAAAUAAUAAAAAUUCAGGUAUUUAUU